This 63-nucleotide transfer RNA is filed under the name Solenaia carinata. Its description in RNAcentral is "tRNA-Asp". The record is from RNAcentral. Lineage: Eukaryota; Metazoa; Mollusca; Bivalvia; Unionida; Unionidae.
AAAGAAUUAGUUAAAGUAUAACUUAAGCUUGUCGAGCUUGUAUUACCUGUGUGGUAUUCUUUU